GGACCAAUAUGUUGGUCGUGCCUCGGUACGUACUGGUAUUAUUGGUUUCUCCCUUCUGAAGAACCUCGAUGCUAUUAAUUUGGUGUCGUGGGAAAUCAGAACUGUUACUUUGAAAAAAUUAGAGUGUUUAAAGCAGGCAUACGCUUGAAUACAUUAGCAUGGAAUAAUGAAAUAGGACGUUUGAUUCUAUUUUGUUGGUUUCUAGGAUCGACGUA
RNAcentral lists this ribosomal RNA (215 nucleotides) under uncultured Glomeromycotina. RNAcentral describes it as "partial small subunit ribosomal RNA". The stretch from base 37 to 215 matches the Rfam family "Eukaryotic small subunit ribosomal RNA", at positions 684 to 864 of the family's 1831-position model. Lineage: Eukaryota; Fungi; Glomeromycota. The record is from RNAcentral.